Molecule: ribosomal RNA, 198 nt
Filed under: uncultured bacterium
Lineage: Bacteria
Description: partial 16S ribosomal RNA
Rfam family: Bacterial small subunit ribosomal RNA
Source: RNAcentral
ACGCUCGACACCUACGGGAGACAGCAGUGGGGAAUAUUGCACAAUGGGGGAAACCCUGAUGCAGCGACGCCGCGUGGAGGAAGAAGGUCUUCGGAUUGUAAACUCCUGUUGUUGGGGAAAAAGAGGAUGGUACCCAACAAGGAAGUGACGGCUAACUACGUGCUAGCAGCCGCGGUAAUCUGAGCGGGCUGGCAAGGC